UGAAUAGGCACUUGCAGUUAUGGUGGAGUUGUUUAUCAAGUUGGAGCCGGGUUUGAAUGCCUCGAUGGAGCAAACCGCUGUUCAUGCAACACUAAUAAUGGUAUAGGGUCUUCUGCAGCGGCAUCGAAUGAAAAACUGAUAUGCAAGAAAUAAAUUCGUUGAAUAACUGAAUGGGAUUCAAGAAAAGAAAAUAAAUUUUUGUAAAAGAUGAAUCGUGCUUUUCUUUUAUUUCUUCUUUGUGAUGAUG
This 247-nucleotide long non-coding RNA is filed under the name Mytilus galloprovincialis (Mediterranean mussel). The record is from RNAcentral. Lineage: Eukaryota; Metazoa; Mollusca; Bivalvia; Mytilida; Mytilidae.